This 131-nucleotide transfer RNA is filed under the name Methylococcaceae bacterium. RNAcentral's name for it is "tRNA-Leu". The record is from RNAcentral. Lineage: Bacteria; Pseudomonadati; Pseudomonadota; Gammaproteobacteria; Methylococcales; Methylococcaceae.
UAGGGUGUAGUAGAUUUGUAGUAGGUUAGAACUUGGCGAGCUCUGUAAGUGAUUGAAAUUUAAUUUAUAUUGAAAUUAUUGCUUGUCUGGGGGACAAGGGGUCGCAGGUUCAAAUCCUGUCGUCCCGACCA